CCUACGGGCGGCUGCAGUGAGGAAUAUUGGUCAAUGGACGAGAGUCUGAACCAGCCAAGUAGCGUGAAGGAUGACUGCCCUAUGGGUUGUAAACUUCUUUUAUAUGGGAAUAAAAUGUUCCACGUGUGGGAUUUUGUAUGUACCAUAUGAAUAAGGAUCGGCUAACUCCGUGCCAGCAGCCGCGGUAAUACGGAGGAUCCGAGCGUUAUCCGGAUUUAUUGGGUUUAAAGGGCGCGUAGGUGGAUUGGUAAGUCAGUUGUGAAAGGGUGCGGCUCAACCGUAAAAUUGCAGUUGAAACUGGCAGUCUUGAGUACAGUAGAGGUGGGCGGAAUUCGUGGUGUAGCGGUGAAAUGCUUAGAUAUCGCGAAGAACUCCGAUUGCGAAGGCAGCUCACUGGACUGCAACUGACACUGAGGCUCGAAAGUGUGGGUAUCAAACAGGAUUAGAUACCCUUGUAGUC
This 460-nucleotide ribosomal RNA is filed under the name uncultured bacterium. RNAcentral's name for it is "partial 16S ribosomal RNA". It matches the Rfam family "Bacterial small subunit ribosomal RNA", at positions 338 to 795 of the family's 1533-position model. The record is from RNAcentral.